GUUCCCUGCAGGUAAUCUCUCUAAUUCAAUUCACCUGCCGGCCUGAAGAAGCUGCCAGCUGUUGGCUGCAUGUUGUUGCUGUAACAUUAGAAGACCUGCAGCUGCCCGUCAUGUGGAACCAAGCGUGCAGUCAGUCCCCUGGUGGGCUGAGCAGCCACAGAGCAGUGACAUCAAAGAUGACAACCCUGCACAUUUUGCCCUGCACAGUGUCUCAGCUGCUGUCAGCGUCUCAGGUCAGCAAUGAUUCCUUUGCGAUCUGCGACCUGGAAAUCAACCAGGUGUCGGUCGUGGGCGUCGUCAGAGGCUUUGCUCCCUUUGUGACAAACAUCCAGUUCUCUGUGGACGACAUGACCGGUCCUGCUUUAAACGUGAAGCAGUGGCUGAACACACAGGACUGUGCUCCCGUCACGUUCACUUCUCCUGGAACAUAUGUGAAGGUUUCUGGAAGUCUCCGCUGCUUCAAAGAUCAAAGGUCGUUGCUGGCAAACUAUAUCCGUUGCAUCAAUGACCCGAAUGAGAUCACGUCCCACAUGUUGGAAGUGGUUCAGGCCCAUAUGCAGCUUUUUAGAAAGACGUUUGAUGUGAACAUGAAUACCACUGCAGCCUCGCUGUCUGCAUAUCCUAAAGGCAUCUCACCCAAUGAUAUGUCCACCAUGCAGGAGCAGGUGUUGCUUGUGAUCAGGAGGAACUCCGUCUGCGACUUCGGCAUCAGUUACGGUGAGCUGCAGACACAGCUGGACGACCUCAGAGUGAGCGACAUCAGAACUUCUUUGACGUCUCUGAUGAGUAAAGGUCUCGUCUUCCACACCGUUGACGAGCAUCAUUUCAAGUCGACAGACCUUUAGUGGAGGCGAGCGAAACCUCCUGGACUGCAGCUGAUCAGGACGGACCCACACUUUUAUGCACGUGGGGCGACUACGCCUGGAAGCACACGAGCCCCGGCAGGAAGACUCCACCGGUACGUUCAGGCGUCUACAGGCGGCUACAUCUUUAGAGAGAAACCUCAGAGCCAAAGCAGCAUCGCACCAGGGGAGCUGAAGGCAGGGGAGGAUGAAGAGCUGAGAGCCCUGCUGGGAUUGCCUGAAGAGCCAGAUAGACGUCUUUGUUUGCUGCUGUUGGUUCUCAGCAGGGCGUAAAAAACAAAAAGUCUGGAUUGAACGAAAGCCAAAACUGGUGAAUGUGAGCAGCUUCAAACUGCAGACCCAUUUGCAAAAGAGAAACUGCAUUACUCGGGAUCUGACGAGGCUGGAGAUUGACAGCUGUAGAGGCAUUAAUAAUUCAAAGCUUGUGCCGGUUUUUAUUUGAGACAAAAGGAGGAAGACACAGAAAAGCAACAUCCAGCGUCCAACAAAGAAAAACAAACACUUUGGUUUUAUGAAUCUAAAUAGGGAUUCAAUCUUAGGAAAACAUGAAUAUUAUCUUAUAUCUCCCAUAUUCCUCCAAAACUAAGUCUGACUCCUCUUUACUCAUGUGGGUGCAGAACCUGAGCGAGGCAGCCGGGACAUCCAGAGGCCCGGGAGAAGAAGGAGGAGCUCCUGCGUGUCCGUAGUGAUGAAGAGCUAAGUCAUCAAUCCAGGUCCAAUGUUCACUUUCAGCUCUGAAAACGGCUACAAGCUUCAAACAGCUGGGGGAAACUGCAGACGAUGGUCAUCAGUCAGCGCCUGCUUCCAACGUUACCCACGAUGAGAUAUCCGUUAUCAUCAGGAGCGUAGAUUUGAGGUUUCAUGAUCCUGCUCUUCCUCCUGAUUGGCUCAGUUGGUCGUUAUCAUCUAUUGGUAAGGUGGAUCAUCGCAGGGAGGGGUGACAUGGUUAGGUGGCGACCUCUAGUGGCCGGAGUAAUUAUAACAGGAGCGCCAGGUGACGUCGUACAACAAGCGAGUCCACAGAGGGAGGACGUUGGAGAGAGAACAUGACUUUCACCUGUUUGUGUCCUUUAAGAACGUUACGUACGUGAACUUACGUACGUAACGUUCUUAAGUUAAAUAACAAAUAUACUUAUUUUAACCUAAAACAUUUCUACCUAACGCUAACCAUUGAGACAACGUGGCAGCAGGCGCGGCUCGUCUGCAGCGUCGUGAUGCUCGUGAUAACAUUUCAUGCAGCUUUAAUAUCAAUAUAAGAGAUGCUGGAGCUUUAUGAUGACUCAUGGAUAAAUGUACCUGCACAGUGUCCAUGUGACUGUUAGCUGAUGUAUAAAGAU
Cottoperca gobio is the source of this 2200-nucleotide RNA transcript. It is a transcript of the gene named replication protein A 32 kDa subunit-like, with no coding region annotated. The transcript has 10 exons. NCBI's taxonomy places the organism in Eukaryota, Metazoa, Chordata, Actinopteri, Perciformes, Bovichtidae. The record is from RefSeq and is a predicted model, not a curated record.